RNAcentral lists this ribosomal RNA (602 nucleotides) under Aspergillus terreus. RNAcentral describes it as "partial 18S ribosomal RNA". The stretch from base 247 to 400 matches the Rfam family "5.8S ribosomal RNA". Lineage: Eukaryota; Fungi; Ascomycota; Eurotiomycetes; Eurotiales; Aspergillaceae. The record is from RNAcentral.
UUUUGUAAGGUAAAAGUCGUAACAAGGUUUCCGUAGGUGAACCUGCGGAAGGAUCAUUACCGAGUGCGGGUCUUUAUGGCCCAACCUCCCACCCGUGACUAUUGUACCUUGUUGCUUCGGCGGGCCCGCCAGCGUUGCUGGCCGCCGGGGGGCGACUCGCCCCCGGGCCCGUGCCCGCCGGAGACCCCAACAUGAACCCUGUUCUGAAAGCUUGCAGUCUGAGUGUGAUUCUUUGCAAUCAGUUAAAACUUUCAACAAUGGAUCUCUUGGUUCCGGCAUCGAUGAAGAACGCAGCGAAAUGCGAUAACUAAUGUGAAUUGCAGAAUUCAGUGAAUCAUCGAGUCUUUGAACGCACAUUGCGCCCCCUGGUAUUCCGGGGGGCAUGCCUGUCCGAGCGUCAUUGCUGCCCUCAAGCCCGGCUUGUGUGUUGGGCCCUCGUCCCCCGGCUCCCGGGGGACGGGCCCGAAAGGCAGCGGCGGCACCGCGUCCGGUCCUCGAGCGUAUGGGGCUUCGUCUUCCGCUCCGUAGGCCCGGCCGGCGCCUGCCGACGCAAUUUUUUUGCAACUUGUUUUUUCCAGGUGACCUCGGAUCAGGUGGACCAA